This is a non-coding RNA of Delphinapterus leucas (beluga whale), 92 nucleotides long. The record is from RefSeq and is a predicted model, not a curated record. NCBI's taxonomy places the organism in Eukaryota, Metazoa, Chordata, Mammalia, Artiodactyla, Monodontidae.
CCCCAGCGGAGACUCUGGUGUUCAUCAUGGCAAGCUGAUGGCACCAGGAGAAAUGGAGCCCCUGGCCAGUGUGAGUCGUAGCAGUGCAGCAC